Molecule: long non-coding RNA, 425 nt
Organism: Molossus molossus (Pallas's mastiff bat)
Lineage: Eukaryota; Metazoa; Chordata; Mammalia; Chiroptera; Molossidae
Exons: 4
Source: RefSeq, a predicted model, not a curated record
AGUUAACAGAGAAGAUACCAUGCAAUGGUGCAGUAUUCCAUGGCCUAUCUACUGGGGGCACCAUUCUCAGCUAUUUCUUAUUCUGAUGUGAAUUCAAGCUUUUCUUUAGCCUAUCUCCCUCUGUCACUUGAAGCUACAUGAGGCAAGAAUUUUUUACUAUAGACUCAAUGCUGUAUCCUCAGCCCCUGAUGGGUACCCAGCACAUAGAAGAAAUUCUUGAGAAAGAAUAGACCUGUGAAAAUAAAUGUUUCUGCUACCAAAUGAAUCUGAUCGGCUUCUAGACACUUAUACACAACAUUACAUCAGGCUAUCAUCAGGAAUAUUAAUGUCAUGAAAGUGUUAAGAAAAAAAGUGGAGGAACUGUUUUGGAUUUUUAGAAGACUAAAGAGACAUAACAAGGGAAUGCAAUGCAUAUUCAUGAUAAA